UAUCUUCAGGGCAGGGCGUAAUUCCCGACCGGCGGUAAAGUCCGCGAGCGCAAGCUGAACCGGUGUGAUUCCGGUACCGACAGUAUAGUCUGGAUGGAAGAAGAUG
RNAcentral lists this non-coding RNA (106 nucleotides) under mouse gut metagenome. RNAcentral describes it as "FMN riboswitch (RFN element)". It matches the Rfam family "FMN riboswitch aptamer (RFN element)". Rfam says of the family: The RFN element is a highly conserved domain that is found frequently in the 5'-untranslated regions of prokaryotic mRNAs that encode for flavin mononucleotide (FMN) biosynthesis and transport proteins. This element is a metabolite-dependent riboswitch that directly binds FMN in the absence of proteins. The record is from RNAcentral. RNAcentral also lists the same sequence under 1 other name.